GCAGGGAGUGGAGCGGCGUCCGUUGUCGCGACUCGCCGGAGGAUGGGAGAAUCGCGCAGUAUCCAUUACAGAAGGUAGAGCAGGAUCGUGGGCAUCAUAGCGAUCUGCCAGGGAAUAGUGGAGCUGCACGGGAUCCGUCGCAGAAGGUGGAGCAGAGUCAUGGCUGUUAUAGCGGUCUGUCAGGGAAUGAUGGAGCUGCACGGAAUCCGCCGCAGGAAGUGGAGCAGGAUCGUGGUGGUUGCUGUGUCGUGCCUGGGAGUGCAGAUCCGUC
Molecule: long non-coding RNA, 271 nt
Filed under: Elaeis guineensis (African oil palm)
Lineage: Eukaryota; Viridiplantae; Streptophyta; Magnoliopsida; Arecales; Arecaceae
Description: long non-coding RNA (EGUI_LNC063328)
Source: RNAcentral